GGCAGCCAACAUUUGUACCCGCUAGCCCCGCGACUGCCUCGAGCAGGGACAUCAAUAAAAUAAACACUGACAGUGGGAGGGCGAAUGGCGAAUGGCGAAUGGCAAAGGAGAAGAGCAGGAAUACAACCAGUAUCAGCACCAGUGCCUGAGGAUGGUAAUGCCAACGAGCUCUACGAGGAGGCGUCUGCACAAUUGAACACGCGACAUUUGUCCAAUUUUUGUUUGUCUCAUUGACAAAACAUUUUUGUAUGUCUUCGCUCGGGGCACUGCCAAAGCUUUAGUUUUCUAGUGCGACUUUUGAUUAGAAAUCAUUCACAAAGUCACUACCAAGGGAGCGGCUCUUGAAUACAAAAGAUACAAAAUUGAUUUUGAAUUCGAUCCGAUAAAUGUGUGUGUUCGAUAGCAGAAUUUUGAGAUGUGAGCUUGUAUCCCUCGUUUUUGUUUUU
This 446-nucleotide long non-coding RNA is filed under the name Drosophila guanche. The record is from RNAcentral. Lineage: Eukaryota; Metazoa; Arthropoda; Insecta; Diptera; Drosophilidae.